Molecule: ribosomal RNA, 737 nt
Filed under: uncultured bacterium
Lineage: Bacteria
Description: bacterial SSU rRNA
Rfam family: Bacterial small subunit ribosomal RNA
Source: RNAcentral
AGUUUGAUCAUGGCUCAGGACGAACGCUGGCGGCGUGCUUAACACAUGCAAGUCGAACGAUGAACCAGGGCUUGCCCUGGGGAUUAGUGGCGAACGGGUGAGUAACACGUGGGCAACCUGCCCCUGACUCUGGGAUAACUCCGGGAAACCGGGGCUAAUACCGGAUACGAGCUUCGACGACAUCGUCGAGGCUGGAAAGUUUUUCGGUCAGGGAUGGGCCCGCGGCCUAUCAGCUUGUUGGUGGGGUAAUGGCCCACCAAGGCGACGACGGGUAGCCGGCCUGAGAGGGCGACCGGCCACACUGGGACUGAGACACGGCCCAGACUCCUACGGGAGGCAGCAGUGGGGAAUAUUGCGCAAUGGGCGAAAGCCUGACGCAGCGACGCCGCGUGAGGGACGACGGCCUUCGGGUUGUAAACCUCUUUCAGCAGGGACGAAGCGAAAGUGACGGUACCUGCAGAAGAAGCACCGGCCAACUACGUGCCAGCAGCCGCGGUAAUACGUAGGUGCAAGCGUUGUCCGGGAAUUAUUGGGCGUAAAGAGCUCGUAGCGGUUGUCACGUCGGAUGUGAAAACUCGGGGCUCACUCGAGUCUGCAUACGAUACGGGCAGACUUGAGUCGCAGGGGAGACUGGCAUUCCUGGUGUAGCGGUGAAAUGCGCAGAUUUCAGAGGAACACCGGUGGCGAGGCGGUCUCUGGUCGAUACUGACCUGAGGAGCGAGCUGGGGAGCGAACAG